This 253-nucleotide ribosomal RNA is filed under the name uncultured bacterium. RNAcentral's name for it is "partial 16S ribosomal RNA". It matches the Rfam family "Bacterial small subunit ribosomal RNA", at positions 524 to 776 of the family's 1533-position model. The record is from RNAcentral.
UACAGAGGUCCCAAGCGUUGUUCGGAUUCACUGGGCGUAAAGGGUGCGUAGGUGGUUUGAUAAGGGUGUGGUGAAAGUCCGGAGCUCAACUCCGGAUCUGCCGUGCCGACUGUCAAACUCGAGGGCUGUAGAGGCAGACGGAAUUCCGGGUGUAGCGGUGGAAUGCGUAGAGAUCCGGAGGAAGACCGGUGGCGAAGGCGGUCUGCUGGGCAGUUUCUGACACUGAGGCGCGACAGCGUGGGGAGCAAACAGG